UCCUUUAGCCCAGCCCACACCGCUGGAAAUAGGCCCUUUAUGAGAUUCUCUUCUAAAUCCUAGAAGAGUGUACCCUCCAUUUCCUGAAGAAUCCUGACAACCAAAAAUCAGGAGCAGACUAUGUAUACAAGUCUGGAAUGGAGGACUUUCCAUUCUAGAAGAAAGAGUGGCCAUUUUCAACUCUUCUUCCUUUUGAGACCUCACUAAAAUUAGAGGAACAGAAUUUAAAAAUACAUUACAUCUCCACGAUAAAGAGAACAGGAAAGGAAACAUCAACAGACAAGGGGAUUUGACAGAUAUUUUUGGAGAGAAGAAACGGUGGAGCAGAGGUAAUUAAGCCGAUUGGAGAGAGGCUGUCCUGCAGACCGAGUGAGACAAGGUCCUGGCACUGGAGAGGCUGCUGCCUGGAUCCCUCCCCCAACACAAGAAAUCAGGAAAUCACCACUCCUCUUGCCCCAGGCCAGAGACUAGGUUUCUGUAGACAUGGAAGGUAGAGGCUGCGGACCUGGACCCCAGACACAGGUGAGAGGAGAGGCUUUGCGCUAAAGACAGAGAGAGAGAGAAAAGGAGGUGGGGAAGAAGAAAGGAAAGAAAGGAGGAAGAGAGAAGGCCAGGCGCGGUGGCUCACGCCUGUAAUCCCAGCACUUUGGGAGGCCGAGGCGGGCGGAUCACGAGGUCAGGAGAUCGAGAC
This 691-nucleotide non-coding RNA is filed under the name Pan troglodytes (chimpanzee). The record is from RNAcentral. Lineage: Eukaryota; Metazoa; Chordata; Mammalia; Primates; Hominidae.